RNAcentral lists this long non-coding RNA (9043 nucleotides) under Homo sapiens (human). Its description in RNAcentral is "HSALNT0205060". The record is from RNAcentral. Lineage: Eukaryota; Metazoa; Chordata; Mammalia; Primates; Hominidae.
AAAAAGUCAAGUUAAUUGCAAGCAGAAGUUGAAAAUCAAGUUUAAAUUAAUCAAAAAUUUAAUUAAACUAAAUGAUCUUUGACUAGCAGCAGUUUUCUUGGCUGAGGGUUAAAAAAUAAAACCAUAAUAGAGAAUUUUUUUUUAAGAUGGAAUCUAGCUGUGUUGACCAGGCUGGAGUGCAGUGGUGUAAUUACAGCUCACUGCAGCCUCAACCUGCCAAAUUCAUGCCAUCCUCCCACCUCAGCUUCCUGUAUAGUUGGGACCACAGGUGCAUGUCACCAUGCCCAGCUAAUUUGUAUAGAAACUGAGUUUUGCCAUGUUGCCCAGACUGGUCUCAAACUCCUGGGCUCAAACAAUCCCGUCGCCUUGGCCUCCCAAAGUGCUGGGAUUACUGGUGUAGGCAAGGAUGCCUGGCCUAGUAGAGAACAUUUUUUUCUGUACUAUAUAGCUUUCAAUAUAGUGGGAGUAAUAGACAAGUAUAAAAUAAUCAAUUUGAUAUAGGGAAGAUUAGGUUACACAUGAGAAGAAUAUGUAAAUUAGACUGAAGGAAUAAGUAUAUUUUGUAUUAUGUUUAAAACUUUGUGUAAGGAGAUAUGAAUAGUUGAAUAAAUUACUUGUACAGGAAUUAAUAUCAUAUCCUGCAUAAUGAAUUCUCAACAGAUGGAGACGUAUUCCAAAGUGCCUCUGUCUUAAUCUUAAUAAUUAGUGGGAUUCUAGACUUCCACAGGUCAAUUCUACAACUAGCCCAUUAUUUCUGCGGUUUUAUAAUUUUUAAAUAUAAAUACGUAAGACUUUUCUUUGUUGUGUAGAUUAUGAAAGAAAACUUGAGAAAAUUAAUUCUUAAUACAAACAAAAACAACAAAAUGCAUUUCUGUAUUUAUAUUUAACAAUAGUCAUUUCAAAAAAUCUGUUAUGAUUUGUUUUAAAAAUAAAUUCAAUGCAUGAACUAAAAUAGUGCUUAUUAAUAUAGUAUUAAUAUCCAACAACACUGACAUAAAUAUAUUUUUCCUUAGGGAUUAUAUGUUAUUAUUCUGAGAUCUAAUUUCUAAUUUUUUUUAGUGCUUAAGUUUUGAAAUUGUGCUUGUGAUGCUUCUUGCUUUUCCUUGUUCAUUUUGUUUUAUUGAUAUUUGUUAAGAAGCAUAUUGGAUUGGCUACUUUAGCAUAAUUUUUCUUCUUCUUACCUAGAAAACAUCUUAAAAUAACUUAUAUCUCAUCACUCAAAUCAAUUUUAAAGUUAUUUUAUGAAAUUUACAUGCUACAGACCCUUUUUGACCCUGGUCCUACUCAUAUAACAUUUACAAGUCCUUUCUACAAAAAAAUUGCUAGGCCUUUACCCUGAAAAGAAAGUGAUAUUUUUAGCAGCUGAAAAUAACAGGCUUUGCCUUAUGAUUUGAUUUCAUCUUUUGUUUCUUAAAUAAAACUGUACUACCCUAUUUUCAUAAUGUUUUGAUCAACCUAUAUAGAACAAUGAGCACUAAUUGACUAAUCUCGUCUUCAGGACUUCUGUUAUUAUAUGCUCAACAGAGACUAUUUUAUAGAUAAUUUCAGCUCCAACAGUUUUUUUUUUUUUAAACCUCUGCUUUAUACCUCCUGUACCAGUAGAUCUCAGUCCUUCUGAAAUAAUGUCUCCUUGUAAUUAUAACAACUGUGUAGUUUUAUUUAGUGACAUGAAAUCCAUGUGUUCUAAUGAAGGGAUAAUGAAAAAAAGGGCCCUCAUUUAAUAAUACCACAAGGCUAGCACUCUUGCAAUAUUUGUUAUUAUAAUAUAUAUGGUAUUUUUUUUUACAAUAUAUUAAUGAUAUCAGCGUUUCAGGUAUCAGGUAUCUGCAUCUCCCACUGCAUUCUUUGAUCAUCUUGAAACAGAUACCUGUUAUGAAUAAAUUGACUUCAGUUCUCAGAACAUGACAGAUAACUUUGUUAUUACUCAUAGUUUCAGUGUUCCCUACCUACUUUUUUGUCUAGUGCAUAUCUACUCAUGCUUUAAUAUUAUGCUCAAGGGCAGCCCUCUUUAUAUUUUAUUUAAAUCCCAGAUAGAUUUUACUGCCACAUUAUUUUUUAUUUCUCCUGGAUUUUACACAGUGUGGUUCUGAAUGGCCAGUAACUAUUACCCUUUAAUUUCUUUCUGUCAUUCACAAAUAUCUGAGAACAAACACAUGAAAAAGAUACCGAAGAGAGAAGAUAAGUUUUAAUACUAAUUGAGCAGAUUAGAGUCAUAGCUUUGGAUACAGAGAUGGCUAAUAUUUCCAUCCCUUCUCUCAAAGGGUUGCUGACACAGCUGGACAUACACAGUGCCCUUGUGAGGGAGAGUCAGCAAGGUGAAAUUGACACAAAGGGUGAGCCAAUAUAUUCUAUGCCAAACACACACCUUUUUGUUUCCAAACUCAACAAUCAGGUAAGUCAAAAUGGAGAAAGAAAUGCUAAGUCAGAAAGACACCAGUGAAAAAUAAAAAAAGUGAGGAAUGAGGAAUAUAUGUUCACAGUAAAAUUUCAUGCCAUUGAUAAGGUGGAGAGAGAAUUUAGAUAAAGAGAGGGUUAUGAUCAACUUUCUCCAAGAUAUAUAGCUUAAAAAUGCAGCAGUCUUUCAGCCGGUAGAACAGAGUAGAGCUGACCUUGGCCAGCUGACCUGGGCAGAAUGAAGCAACUCCUGCCACAGAAUAGCAUUUCAUCCUUGCAUCCUGCACUGGGACCAUCAUGUGCUUUUGAUGAAAGUCAAGAAUAAACCCUAAUCUCAGCUCAUACAAGACAUUAGAAGUGCCUUUUUCUGCUAUUCCUACUCCCAUUUAAUUGUGUCUUUUGAUGUUUGGCUGGGAGCUUUGGCCUGGAUCCCUGUGGAAUUUGCCUGAUUCGUUCACUAUAUCAUCCAAAGCUGGACACACACACCACACACACAGAUACACAGACACACACAUGUACAUAGAGAGACACACAGAGAGAGAGACUCUAAGCACACACUCUGUUUAUUCCACAGGUCGUUGUGCCUGCCCUGCCUGGGUGUUUUUUCAAAAUCUUGUGGAUAUGAAACUAUAGACGGUGUUGUGACCUCUGCUGCAGUGGCUUGGAAAUUCACUGGCAGCGGGCACAGUGAUGCAGAGAAAAUAUUGAAGGGGACCAAUUCAGUGUGGAAUUCAGAGAAGGCCACUCUGGAAAAUUACUUCAUAUGCUAAUAUAUGAGGUGUGAAUGGAGGUCCGUCAGUCUAUGAUAGAGCUUCAUCACUCUAGAACAACUCUCUUCUGGAGAUGAAAUAGGAGGCUCAAUAAUGCAGUUAUGGAAGGGACAUAGGCAAGUGUCAGUUAUCUUGGUAGAUUUCUUCAAAUAAUUAUUGGUCAUAAAACUCCAAAGACGAUAGAUUGCUCCAAAGGUCUGUGUAAGCAGAGAUAGGGCAAAGAAUUGAGAGUAGGAUAGCCAAAGACAAUGAUGUGUCCCAGAAUAGAAAUGGAAAGAAAUUAGAUGCUUCGGUAAUAUGAAAGAAAAAGACAUUAUUAUCCAAUAAGAAUUUGAAAGACAUGAAUAAAAAGAGUUAAAAAUGUGUGACAUAAAGCAAAUUCAUAAUUUUAAAAAUGCUUCUGGGUGUAAGAUACAUUGAAUAUCGCCAAGCAAUUAAUAGAUGUUAGGUCAAGACUUUCAAAUAAUUAAUUUAUACUUUAAGCAAAUUCUUUCUUCUGAAAAGUUCUCCAAAAAAUAGUAAUGUGACAUUUGGAGAAUUAUGUUUAAGAUAUUAUUGUAGAAAUGAUAAACUGAGAUUUUGGUCAGCAAAACAAGUGCAAGGGUAACAAAAAUACAAUAAGUCUUCUGAAGAAGUCAGUGUUCCUAAAAUAAUUGGUCUUCAUAUUGAAUUUUCAUAAAGUAGAUAUAUCGAUUACUUACAUAAACUUUGACAGAGUUAUUCAAUGUACAUUUACAGAGAAAUGAAAUAUAAAUCUCUAUUAAAUAAAUAAGUGAAUUAGUUUGAAAUUACUCCAUUGUUUUGGUGGCAUAAUUUUUAAAAAUUGACAACUAGAAUAUAACACAUUUCUAAAUUUCUUAGAUUUACUUCGUAAACUUAACAGUAUACAGAAACAUUAUUGAUUAUUAAUAAUUAAACGGGAAAAUUUUUGAGAAAAUAAAUCAUCUUUUUUUGAUCUUUUUGAGACCAUUGGCUUACAAAACAAAUCUAAUUUUGCUUACAUAGAAAAUAAAAAAGGGAACAAGCUUUCAAUGCCACAGGUUUUGGAUCUGGAGCUUUUUUAAACAGAGGUGAUUGUGGACACAGGGAAACGUAAAAUGUCUAAGGCUGGCUCCAGCAUUUGUCAUUGGAGGAUUGUGAUAUUAAGAUUUUAUAACUCUAUAUGAUUGACAUGAGGUUAUCAGGUAGAAAACAUGAAUUUAUAGCAUGUCAUGAUUAGCAACAGAGGCAAAUAAAAACAGCAAUAUUAUCUCUUUGAAGGAGAGUAUUUUUCUGUUUUUCUUAAGUUUUAGAGUAAGAAAUAUAAAACUUUUGGCCUGUAGAUUGGCACAGUAUUCAGAGCUAUAGUAAUCCCUGCUGGUUAAGAUUGUUUAGCUGCCCCAAAUUCUUCCCUUCUGGUCUCAAUGAGAUGACAAGGUAAUUGAAUAUGCACUUCAUUGCCCUUCUUCAGGGAUGAAAUUGAUGAGCAAUAGAUGGAAUAUGCUCCACUUCAGAAGUAAACGUAUCAGUUAAGCUUGUUCAGAAAUGUUCAUGUUUGAGAAACAAUUCCAAAUAAGCAAUCUGAAAAUAUGAAUUUGUGCGUAUAAAAUAUACACAUAUAUGUAUAUUGUGUGUGUGUGUGUGUGUAGUUUAACCUCAUUAUUCAUGAAUUCUGUAUUAGUGAAUUUUCCUAUGUAGUAAAAUUUAUCUGUAAUCCCAAAAUCAAUACUUGCAAUGUUUUCAUGGUCAUUUGUGGACACGUGCUAAACAGAAAAAAAUUGUCUCAGAAGACACACAAGUCUUGUAACAUUGCUGAGAAGAGGCUAAAUUGUUACAAACACUGUGGCAAGCUUCUUGGCAACAUUUACUAAAUAUGUAUAUAUGCAUAUUCCUGCAAUACUCUCCUGGAAGAUACUCAGCAGGCAUGCAUAUCUGUAUAUAAUAAAUGACAUUUAUAAGAAUUUUCAUAUAUGCAUUAAUUAUAAAAGUCUCAAAUUAAAAAAAACCCAUCCACCAAUAGAUGAAUAAAUACAUGUAGUUAGGUAUAAUAUAUUAGUAAUGAAGAAUAAAAUAUAACAGUAAAAAUAAACUGCUACUGCACAAAUUUUCACUGCUAUAUUUUAUUCCAUAUUAUUAAUAUACCAAGAUGUCACAGGUACACUUGGGAGUGUCUUUUGAUGAAUAUCAAAUGUUCUUAAUUUUAUUAUAACCCACAUUAUCAAUCUGUUUUUUAGGAUAGGUUCAUUUGUACCCCAUUUAAGUGUUUUAUGAUGCCAGUGUCCUGACAAUAUUCUAUGUUUUCCUAUAGAAACUUUAAUGUUUUAUAUUUUACAUCUAGAUAGUAUUGCAUCUGAGGUUGAUGGAAAUAAGAUUAAUUUUCACUCAUGGUCCUAUCGACCUGGCUCUAUUCACUGAAGGCUUGUUUAUUCCCAUGACUGUUCAAUAUCCAUUUGUUCUAAGUCAAGACUCUGUUUGUCUGGGCUUGUUAUUGAUCCUAUAUUAUAUUGUGUUGGCCUUUUUUUUAUAUUUCUGCAAAAAGUGAUUUGUUAAUUAAAGCAGGUUUUCAUGGGUCUUGUUAUUUGGAACUUGAUUUCCUCCUGCUUAAUCUCUUUGUGUUAUAUUUUCUAGGCCUUUUAAUUCUCUAAUAAAUUUUGGACUCACCCUCUCAGUUUUCACAUACACAAAACUAUUGAGAUUUGGAUUGAGAUUAUAUUCUAUAUAUGGAUCAAAUCAUAGAGAAUUAACCUUAUAAUAUGAAGUCUUAUAACCCAUAAUUUUUAUAUAUCUCUCAACUGUUUUGCUCUUUUAAUAUUUUUAAUAAUAUAAGUUUUCCAUGUAGAAGUCUUAUACAUUUUUAUUGGAUUUAUUUUCAAGCAUUUUAUAUUUUAUGUUGUCAUUUCAACUUAAUUGAAUUUAAUUUUCAAAUUGUUUAUUAUGUACAAUGGAUUUCUGUAUAUUGAACUUUAAUCAAGUUAUGUUGCUGAUCUCACUUUCAAUUCUUCUUUUUUAUGUACAAAAUUAUGCCUGCAAACCAUAGCAAUUUUGUUACUUUUAACUUCUUAUAAAUUAUAUUUACUUUAAUGUAUUAUUGAAAUAGCUAAAAUCUCUGGAAAAAUGUCAACAUUGAAUAGUAAUUGCAGCUAAUAUUUUCUCCUUUUUUAUUCCUAAUAUCAGUAAUUUCUACUUUCUCACAUUCUAAAUCUUCCUCUAAAAUUUGGGCUUAGUUAACUUUUAUUCUUUGCUUCCUGGUAUACACACACGUUUCCCAAGCAUUCAAUGAAACACUAAUUUUCUGCUGUUGUGAAGGAAUUUUGCAUUUGUAAGUAAAGUCCAAAGUCAGUUGAUUUAAGAGAGAGAGGUUAUCCUCAGUCUCUCUGAUCUAGUCAGUGAUCAUUUUAAGAGUACCCUAUUUUUCCCAGAAAAAGAUAUGAAUUAUGAGAGAGAUUUGAUGUGAGAUUCUCCACUGCUGGCUUUGAAAAUGGAAGAGGCCUCACAUGGCAAGGACCUGAAGUAGCCUCUGGGAGCUAAGAGUGAUUGACCAUUGUCCUGUGGCCUCAAGAAAAUCAGGAGUUCAGUCUGCAACUACAAGGAGCUGAACGCUGCCAACAACCUCAAUGACACUGGAAGAACACACUGAACUCCAGAGAACACAGCCCAGGCCAAUACAUUGAUUUUAGCCGUGUGAAACCUAUUGUAGAUAACUCAGUUGUGCUGUGCUUAGACUUUUUUUUUUUUUUUUUUUUUGAGACGAAGUAUUGCUCUGUCGCCCAGGCUGGAGUGCAGUGACACGAUCUUGGCUCACUGCAACCUCCGCCUCCCGGGUUCAAACGAUUAUCCUGCCUCAGCCCCCUGUGUAGCUGGGAUUACAGGCACCCGCCACCAUGCCCGGCUAAUUUUUGUAUUUUUAGUAGAGACAGGGUUUCACCAUGUUGGCCAGGCUGGUUUCGAACUCCUGACCUCAAGUGACUGCCCGCCUUGGCCUCCCAAAGUGCUGGGAUUACAGGCGUGAGCCACCGCGUUCUGCCACUGUGCUCAGACUUCUGACAUAGAGAACUGCGAACUAAUAAAUGGCUUUUACAGCACUAAUUUUUUGUUAGUUUAUUACACAGCAAUAUAGAAAACUAAUAAAUAUCAAGUGAAAAUGAAUUGUUUGCUUCUAAGCACUUGAUUUAGAUAAAUCCUACAGGUUUGUUCAUGUAAUUAAAAAUAUGUGUAAUUUCCAUUGUAAGUUCUUUAUUCUUUUUUAGUGAUUACUCGAGAUGAUAGUAUGCAUUUUUAAACUGAUAUUGAUAACAUUCUUUACUAUUUCCUUGAUAAUGCUAAGCUCUUAGCAACUGCAUUCCACAUCCUUUUGUCUGUAUGCCAUUGUUGACAUGCAUUUUAAUUCUGUAUAUAUUUUAAAUACAGUAGCUAUAAUUAUUAUUUUUAUUUCACCAAUUAGCAUACAUUUAGAUAUUUCCAAAUCUUUAAGCAUUAUGUUAGUCUUCAGUUAUUUCUGCCUAUUAUUUGUUCAGUAUCAGCUUUCUUAGGAUAGGUUCUUAUUUACUAGUACUUAUUAGUAUUUUUUUUUGUUAGCAUAUUCUAAUAUUGUUUGAAUGGAAUAAAUUUUUUUACCUUCACUUUGAAAAUAUAUUUAUUUUCUAUAUAAUGAAUUAUCAUUUGGUAUAUUCUCUGUCAAUACUUUUAAAAUGUUAUUCCACUCUUUAUUUUUUCCAACAUAUCUGUUGACAGCUCCCAGUCUUCCUGCUUCUCCUUUAAAGGCACCUAUGUGUUUUCUCUGGCUCGUUUUAAAAUCCUUCCCUCCCCUCUUUCUUGAAAUUAUUAGCUUUUUUUUUUUUUUUUUUUUUUUUUUUAGCAGUCUAUCCCUCCUUCUUGGAAUUAUUAGUUUUAAACUGUUCUUUAAUAACUCUAAUGAAUUUUGAAAAAUUCCUGCCCCAAAUCCCUCUCAAUAUUGCCUCUGCAUCAUUCUUCCUUUCUUUUCUUCUACUGCAAAAAUAAUUACACAAAUGCUAUUUUUUAAUUAUUUUUUUAUUUUUUUAUUUUUUAGACGGAGUCUUGCUCACUCUGUCGCCCAGGCUGGAGUACAGUGGCGCCAUCUUGGCUCACUGCAAGCUCUGCCUCCUGGGUUCACGCCAUUCUCCUGCCUCAACCUCCCUAGUAGCAGGGACUACAGGUGCCUGCCACCAUGCCUGGCUAGUUUUUUGUAUUUUUAGUAGAGACGGGGUUUCACCAUGUCAGCCAGGAAGGUCACGAUCUCCUGACCUAGUGAUCCACCCACCUCAGCCUCCCAAAGUCCUGGGAUUACAGGUGUGAGUCACUGCGCCCGGCCAACAAAUGCUAUUUUUGCUUUGACCCUUUUCCUACUUAUAUUCAUUUUUGCUUUUUACUUUCCACCUUUUGUUUUGAACUUAUCUCCAAAUUCACUCUCUUCUGCAUGCCUAGUCUACUGUUCAGCCUAUUUAUUUUUUUAUUUCACUCAUUUUACUUUUCAUUUAUUUAUGUUUUAAAAUAAAUGCAUAAUAAAUUUAUGUAUUAAAUAAAAAUUCUCUAUGAAAGUUUAUAUCCUAUAAUAUUUCUUUUUCUUUUAAUAGCUAAACUUUAUUUUGUAAAGAUACAACCCCUGUCCUUAUAGACAAAUACAACCUCCCCAACUAUCAACAUCCCAUACCACAGUGGUACACUUCUUACUAUUGAUGAGCCUACCUUGACACAUCAUUAUUACCCAAAGUCUGUAGUUCACAUUAGGACUCACUCUUGGAGAUGUACAUUCUGUGGGUCUUGACAAUGACAUAUAUCACCAUCACAGUAUCAUACAAAAUAGUUUUCUUGCUCUAAAAAUCCUCCAUGCUCUUCUUAUUCACCUUUUCCACCCUCUACAAGCACCUGCAACCCAACAUCUG